AACCCUAAUCAAUAGACAUACGGCGUAAAGCGUGUUUAAGAUUAUUCCAACAAUAAAGCCAAAUCUUAGCUAAACUGUAAAAAGUCCUAGCUAUUGUAAGACCCAUUACGAAAGUAGCUUUAAAUUAUCUGAAUACACGACAGCUAAGAUCCAAACUGGGAUUAGAUACCCCACUAUGCUUAGCCUUAAACUUAAAAUAUUAAAAUAACAAAAUUUCUCGCCAGAGUACUACUAGCCACAGCCUAAAACUCAAAGGACUUGGCGGUGCUUCACAUCCCCCUAGAGGAGCCUGUUCUAUAAUCGAUAAACCCCGAUAAACCUCACCAACCCUUGCCAACU
Molecule: ribosomal RNA, 339 nt
Filed under: Pteronotus rubiginosus
Lineage: Eukaryota; Metazoa; Chordata; Mammalia; Chiroptera; Mormoopidae
Description: partial 12S ribosomal RNA
Rfam family: Bacterial small subunit ribosomal RNA
Source: RNAcentral